RNAcentral lists this ribosomal RNA (497 nucleotides) under uncultured bacterium. Its description in RNAcentral is "partial 16S ribosomal RNA". It matches the Rfam family "Bacterial small subunit ribosomal RNA", at positions 28 to 507 of the family's 1533-position model. The record is from RNAcentral.
GAUGAACGCUGGCGGCGUGCCUAAUACAUGCAAGUCGAGCGAACGGACGAGAAGCUUGCUUUUCUGAUGUUAGCGGCGGACGGGUGAGUAACACGUGGAUAACCUACCUAUAAGACUGGGAUAACUUCGGGAAACCGGAGCUAAUACCGGAUAAUAUUUUGAACCGCAUGGUUCAAAAGUGAAAGACGGUCUUGCUGUCACUUAUAGAUGGAUCCGCGCUGCAUUAGCUAGUUGGUAAGGUAACGGCUUACCAAGGCAACGAUGCAUAGCCGACCUGAGAGGGGGAUAGGCCACACUGGAACUGAGACACGGUCCAGACUCCUACGGGAGGCAGCAGUAGGGAAUCUUCGGCAAUGGGCGAAAGCAUGACGGAGCAACGCCGAGUGAGUGAUGAAGGUCUUCGGAUCGUAAAACUCUGUUAUUAGGGAAGAACAUAUGUGUAAGUAACUGUGCACAUCUUGACGGUAACUAAUCAGAAAGCCACGGCUAACUACGUG